UACGGGGGGAGCAAGCGUUGUUCGGAUUUACUGGGCGUAAAGGGCGCGUAGGCGGUCGUGACAAGUCACUUGUGAAAUCUCCGGGCUUAACUCGGAACGGUCAAGUGAUACUGUCGGACUAGAGUACAGAAGGGGCAACUGGAAUUCUCGGUGUAGCGGUGAAAUGCGUAGAUAUCGUUUGGAACGCCAAAGGUGAAAACAGACAGCUGGGAGUGUGCUGACGCUGAGACACGAAAGCCAGGGGAGCGAACGGG
RNAcentral lists this ribosomal RNA (254 nucleotides) under uncultured bacterium. Its description in RNAcentral is "partial 16S ribosomal RNA". It matches the Rfam family "Bacterial small subunit ribosomal RNA", at positions 524 to 776 of the family's 1533-position model. The record is from RNAcentral.